Non-coding RNA from Portunus trituberculatus (swimming crab), 73 nucleotides. The record is from the annotation of a RefSeq genome assembly. NCBI's taxonomy places the organism in Eukaryota, Metazoa, Arthropoda, Malacostraca, Decapoda, Portunidae.
GCUCUCGUAGUGUAGUGGUUAUCACGUCUGCUUUACACGCAGAAGGUCCCAGGUUCGAGCCCUGGCGGGAGCA